This is a long non-coding RNA of Sinocyclocheilus rhinocerous, 539 nucleotides long. RefSeq lists it as uncharacterized. The record is from RefSeq and is a predicted model, not a curated record. NCBI's taxonomy places the organism in Eukaryota, Metazoa, Chordata, Actinopteri, Cypriniformes, Cyprinidae. The transcript is spliced from 5 exons.
AAAAAAAAAGUGUGUGUAAGAAGAUGAAAAAAAACUGUAGUGAGAGAAACUUAAUGUACAUAAAAGUACAUUCAAGAGAGAGGAAGAGACAGGCAGACAAAGAAAAAUAGAAAAGGGAGAACAUGAGAAAGACCAACAUAUAAAAGACAAGGGAGAUGAAGAGAAGUUCAGAUACAGAAAAAGGAGAGCAAGAGGAAGUCAGAGAAAAAAGUAACAUAAGAUAGAAGACCAUAAACAACUUUUCCAAUUUAGGCAGCAGCAAGCAGAUCCAGUUAGGAGAUCAGAGAACCUGCUGGGAAACCAAGAUAGAACUCCAGAUGACUAGACAUCAUUGCUUUGUGAAGACUGCUGAAGAGAAAUUACAACUGUUGCCUGCAGAUUCCACAUGGUGGUUUUCAUCACGAGCCGAUCAACAUCCAAAUUCAGCAGGGAUGCAGAGAUGACAUUAUGAGCUGAUGUGGAGAAAUCUACAGAUGACUCACCAAUGGAUCCUCUGCAGUGAAUGGGUGCCGUCAGAAUGAGAGUCCAAACAGCUGAUA